UACGUAGGGGGCGAGCGUUGUCCGGAUUCAUUGGGCGUAAAGAGCUCGUAGGCGGCUUGGCAAGUCGCGUGUGAAAGCCCCCGGCUCAACUGGGGAGGGUCACGCGAUACUGAUCGACUCGAAGGCAGGAGAGGGUAGUGGAAUUCCCGGUGUAGUGGUGAAAUGCGUAGAUAUCGGGAGGAACACCAGUGGCGAAGGCGACUACCUGGCCUGUUUCUUGACGCUGAGGCGCGAAAGCUAGGGGAGCAAACGGG
This 254-nucleotide ribosomal RNA is filed under the name uncultured bacterium. RNAcentral's name for it is "partial 16S ribosomal RNA". It matches the Rfam family "Bacterial small subunit ribosomal RNA", at positions 524 to 776 of the family's 1533-position model. The record is from RNAcentral.